CCUACGUGUGGCAGCAGUGGGGAAUAUUGCACAUUGGGGGAAACCCUGAUGCAGCAACGCCGCGUGGGUGAAGGAGCGUUUCGGCGCGUAAAGCCCUGUCAGCGGGGAAGAAGAAAGACGGUACCCGACCAAGAAGCCCCGGCUAACUAAGUGCCAGGAGCCUCGGUAAUACGUAGGGGGCGAGCGUUAUCCGGAAUUACUGGGUGUAAAGGGAGCGUGGACGGCGAGGGACGCCUGGAGUGAAAGCCCGGGGCCCAACCGUGGAACUGCUUUUGAAACUGUUCUGCUGGAGUAUGGGUGGGGUAAGCGGAAUUCCUGGUGUAGCGGUGAAAUGCGUAGAUAUCAGGAGGAACACCGGUGGCGAAGGCGGCUUACUGGACCAUAACUGACGUUGAGGCUCGAAAGCGUGGGGAGCGAACAGGAUUAGAUACCCGAGUAGUC
RNAcentral lists this ribosomal RNA (441 nucleotides) under uncultured bacterium. RNAcentral describes it as "partial 16S ribosomal RNA". It matches the Rfam family "Bacterial small subunit ribosomal RNA", at positions 338 to 795 of the family's 1533-position model. The record is from RNAcentral.